This 5699-nucleotide long non-coding RNA is filed under the name Gallus gallus (chicken). RNAcentral's name for it is "lncRNA (ENSGALG00010018346.1)". Lineage: Eukaryota; Metazoa; Chordata; Aves; Galliformes; Phasianidae. The record is from RNAcentral.
ACCUCCCAGGGUAUUAAGGCUGCACUUUUCUUUGGAGUCUCGUGCUGCUCAGGCUCAUGGCAGUGCUCCCUUUGAACUCUCUGUGGUUUGUAGUUCUCACCACUUGCUCAAAAUGAAGCAGAAUGCAACGGUUCAUAUAAUAUUAUGUCUCAGGAAGAGUGUAUGUAACAGUACCCGUGCUGAUAUGAGCCGGUUGACGCUUGGACAUCACAGACCUCUGUAUGGUGCUCCCAGAGGUCUGACAUGUAUUUUGCUAAAUCCUUCCAUCAAUAAAACCCAUGCUGCCUGCUUCUAGAUGGGUGAGAGGAGAAUGAUGGCAAAAGAAUUUGGUAUAUCCUUGCUCCCACCUUCCUGUUCUUGAAAGCACAGGACAUCUGUGGGAGGAUUAUCUCUGGAGGCCUUGAUGGAGAGUACCAACCAGUCUUCAUGUGAAGACACUCUGCGUUCCUCAGCACUUACCCGUGAUCUGCAUCCUUGGUAAUCAACAGGGAAUAUUCUUUUAAACCUUGUUCUCUUGUUUCUUUUGGUGCUGUGGCACAGCUGUUUCUAUUUAUUUCAGACAGAUUAAUCUUAAUGUUACAAAUGCCUGCAUAGUUGAUGCCCUCAGCCAGGACCUUGCAGCUUGAGAGAUGUGUCCCCAGACCCCCCUAACCCAGCUGAGGAUGGAGGGAGCAGCCUGGUACACCCCAAGUACACUUCUCCUCCCAGUUAGGAAGACAUUAUUGCUGCCAGAGUACACGCUGUCCAUUCUUUAACCAGACAAGACUGGAUAAGAAAGACUAAUCAUCUCCUUGCGGAGAUGCCAGUGGAAGUGAUUGAGACAAAGGGGCGUAGCAUCAUCUUGAUGCUGAAGAGCUUUCAGAGGAGGUAAGUGUGUGACUUCCCAGCAGAGCAAGUGGAGAAUAAGCAGCUGAAAAAUCUUUCUUCAUUUCUAAGAAAAACAGGAAUGGCCAGGCCAUUGCCGAGUGCUGACAUGUUUGUAUUGUUUGUGUUGCAUUGUUUUGUAAUCAAAAGUCAGUAUUUAUUGGACUAUACUCUCAAAAGGUCUCAUCUCAAAAUACUCUCAUAUCAGAAUCUGUGAUAAGACUAAAAACCCUGAUGGAAACUUAGCCCCAGCAAUUUUUUUUUCUGACAUCAGCUCUUCCGUGCCUUAAAGUAUAACCCCAAAGCCCUGAGCUCUCCACUAAGGAGGCUGGAUGUGGGAGCCAGCCAGCAGAGCCUGCUGCGUCCAAGCCCUCUUUGUAAGAGAGGUGGCUGUGGCUCUGGACAGUCUCUGGACUGCCUCCUUCCUUCUGCCUGCAGAGCACAGCCAUGGCCUCUCAGAAAGCUGCUGCUGGUGCCUGUCCUUGCCCUGUGGCUACACCAGCCUAGGGAGACCCUUCCAUGCAUCUUGCAUGCAUGGUAUAGCAGAUAAGCCACAAAUAGUUUGUGCCUACUUCAGUAAGUAGCUCACCGAUGUAGCAUACCAUUGUAAUGGAGAAAAAACCCUAAUUCCAUUAAAUUGGAUGUUAGGCAUAAUAGCUGGACCCUUAAGGUUAAAGAAAUCCGAUCCAUUCAGGUGGCACAGAACAGCCUUCAGUGCAUUGCACAGCCUAAGGAGAGAGCAGAGUGUUGCCCACUGUAUUUACUAUCAUGUUUGUUUUGGGAGCUAAAUUAUUCUUACUAAUUCUGCUAGCAGUGUAAUACGCUGUCUCAGUAAUGGAAAGCAUAUGAAAGCAAGCAGAUGGCGAGAGCAGAAAAAACCCAAGCAUGUCCUGAUAAUGUAGUAAGCAAGUUCAUUUUUUUGGCAUUAGGCUUUCAUAACCGAGGCAUGGUGAUAACAAGUACAGACACAUUUUUAAAGCGCAGUUCAUCAAAAAAUAUAGCCAGUUUCAUUGCAGAGCAAUGGAAGAUUACUUUGAGACUUUUAUAUAGAUAAAAGCUAGAUGUGAAUGUUGUUGAAUUAGACCCAUCAUUUAUUAUUGCUGGCAGAUGAGUGACAGCAGAUACUGGUCAGAGUGAUGCCAUCGCAGUCCUGUGAUCGCACGUAUCUUCACGAAUGUAGAGUUUCUCACCCGUUCACUUGCAAAUAUGUAGCCACCCUGUAUGCCAGAAAAACCACAGGCACUUUGAUACAGGGUGUUAUCGCAGUGGGCAGUAUUGGAAAUUCCAAGUAUUUUAUUUUGCUUCUAAAGCUUUCAGUCUCUGGUUGGAAGUUGUGAAGCUCAAGGCUGCUGCUGCUUCAAUAUCUGCGUAUCUGCAGCACGUGUGGAUCCCACCUGGUUUGGCCCCAUUCCCUGCGAGGAGGGCACUGCAUGGGGAGUGCUCAGCAUGUCUAGAGAAGAGUGGCCUCGCCUCUCUGCUGAAGCAAACAGUCCUGGCAUGGAGUUUUGGGGGGGAGGAGGCGGUGGAAGUAACUUGACUACCUCCAACCCACAUUUUUUUUGUUGUUUUUUUUUUGUCUCUCAGGCCAAGAUAUGGGCAGAAGCAAGGCCAGAUUCACUGUUUACACAAUCUAUCACUUUAAGGUUCUUCAGAGAAGGGAUACAUUAAUUUUUGUUAUGAUUUCACUUUGAAGCAGCGCAGCUGCAUCUUUGUGUGACAUGUCAAGUGGCUCCAGCCGUGCAUUGUGAGAUGGGGCUGCAAGCAAAGCCCUGCCCUCAGCUUCCAGGAGUUUGGUUCAGAGAGAGCAAGGGAGGAGGAGCUGCCAAUGCUGCUGUGUGGGGAGCAAGUGCCAGUUCAGGGAGUGAACAGAACUGAGCAGUGAUCUCUUCUGCAGGGAAGGGGUGAGGAGAGACGGCCCCCUUUCUCAUGAAACCAUGUAAUUGGUUAUAAUGCUCAUUUUUCACCAUUCAAUAGCACAGCGUGUUAAGUAAUGAAAGUUUUUAAAUAUUUCAUAUGCAUCUGGUUCGUUCCUGAUUUGAAGAAACAAAGGCAAGAAAGCCUUUCUGAUUGCUUGCUCCCUCUGAGGGCCUUGCUCUUGCUGCUUCCUGAGGAAAGUUGUCUCCCUUUAUCUUUUUUUAGCAAUGGAUGCUGAUUUAACCUCCCAGGAAAUCAUGUCUUUUCUUCUGUGUUGCUUUUAGUAUCUCCAGGAAGUGGCAGGUGGCACCACUCAGGAGAUGACUUUGAUGGCCCCAUGUCCUCUCUGUUUCAUUACCCAGGCAGGAGGUGGGACUGCUGUUACACCUUGUUCCCAGCUGUUUUCUGCUCCCAAGGCUGUGCCACCCAUCUCGUUGCUGUGGCUUUCUCUUGUGGGGCCUGGGGACAGAUGCAGAAGCCAGGUGACACGGAUGCUUUGCUGCCAGCGCGGGGCCUGAGGCUGUAUCCUGGUGGAGCCUGGGCAGGGGCUGAUCGGCUCAGGAGAGAUGGGAUGGGACAGGGUCUGCCCUAAUGCUGAAGGCCCAGCUCAAACCUCUGGGGGCGGGAGACCCUGUGCUGAUAGCCAGAAGUCAGAGCACGUUGCUUCCUUCUGCUGUGGUGUCUCUGCCAUCUGCAAAUCCCUCCAGCAGCGGCACCCUGCCUCUGCCUUGUUCCCACUUUGUUUAGGCUAAAGCCAGUGGGUCUGUCUUCAAAGCAAAGUGCGGCUUUCCCUGUGGAAAAAUCUCACUCCUGACUUUUGCUCUGUCCCCACAUCAAGCCAGCUUUCAGUGCACUGCCUGUAAGCAACUGUUAUUUUUUGUGUUUGUCCUGCAGUGAGCCAUAGCGUUCUGUGUCACCAUACCUCUAGACAAGGCUGUGAAAGCAGUUGAGGACUUUUCCAACAACUGAUGCCUGCUGCUGCUGCUCACAGCCAGCACAAAGCCUUCCCACUGCCAGGCCUGCCUGCUCUGGGCUGCUGUGUUUAUUUCUGGGGUUAGAGGGGAAGGGGGGGGAACUGUAUCUGGGUAUUUUAAUUAGAUAAUAAUAAUGGAAACAAGUGGCACUAUGGCCACUUCCUAAACAGAGACAUCUGUUUGUAGAGUCCUGGCCCUAUUGGAGAGCACUAGGUAGGACUCAUCAGGCCAAGUCGUCGCUGCAGCUGUGCUGGGCAGCCCUGGAGCCCACUGGCUCCUCACAGGGGUGCUGGAGCACACUGGGGGCAUCGCUCCCCUCCCACUGCCCAUGCACUGCUGGAUGUGGCACAGCACUGCUACAUACAAAACCCUACUGAAGUUAUUUGCCUCAGUCUCACACAUCUGAGUCUUGUAACUUUGCUGCUGGUUCAUUUUCAGGAGGGACAGGAUAUAUUACGGAGCUAAAUUCUCACGGGCAAAUAAUAAGUCCUAGCACCUGCUGGCUGGAACCCACAGGCUGUGACCUGUCUCCUCCAAUGUUUGUAUUUUCCUCUGCGGGAAAGAGCAACAUGGUAAAGAAUUCCUAUUAUUUCAAAUAUUUCACCAUGGUGUUAUCUAGCCUAGUCUAAACAAUGGUCCCGAUUGCUCUUGAGAGUUGUACUCUGCAGGAGAAAACGGUAACAAAUGUUGUUAUUCCCAACGUGAUCCCCCCCACUACGGGGACACAGAUAUUUGUGACAUGGAAUGGCAGUGUGCUCCUGGAAGCAUCAAUCCAGAUAUGUUAGCUGAAAAAGAGGAAAAAAUUGCCUCCCUUGCCAAAUUCCAAACUGAUCCACCCAGAAGAAGAUCCAUGCUGUGAUGCUUCUGUCCUGGACGUGCCAUUUGUUGAUGCAGGAAGUGGAUCACAUCCCAGGCUCUGGGAAUGUGCAGGAUGUGUCACUUGCCCCAUUGCCUUACAAACGAUAAAUCUCUAAAACCUCACUAAAAGCUGUAAUACUGCAAAAGCUGCAGCCAUGGCAAUUAUUUGCCUUCAUGUUCACUGACCCACUGAAGGAACCAGGCUGUGAACACCCUGACUCUAGUGGGAAAUGCCUGGACAGCCAGACCUGACCCAAAUGUCCAAACACAGCCAAACUUCAGCCUGAAUACACAUAACACAGUUAAUCCCGACUUAAUUUAUGGCAGCCUGAACCUGAAUGUGAACUCACCCACUGUGUUACCAGAGAUCCGAACCUGGAUUUGGCUCCCAAAUAGCUUGGGUCUAGGUCUUGAAAUUACCCAGUUGUUGGCUGCAGUCUGCUUUGGAGCUGGAGAUUUAUUUCUCCAGGAGGCAGGAAAACACAUUGUGUUGCCAAACUACUUCCAGUCUUUUCCAGAAUUACAAGUCAGGGGAUGGUGGGUAAGUCUUGUGAUUUUCAUCCUACAAUCUAAACCAGAUGGACUACUCUCGCAGCAUAAAUAUUUAAGCAAAAAAAAAGCAAAAAAAAAAAAAAAAAGUUCAGUUUCUUAAUUAAUUGCAUUAUUAUGACUUGCACUAUUUAACAGGAUGCGCAUAAAGCUGGUUUACAAGAUAGCUUGAUCACCUUCUUUGAUUCAUCUCAAUAAAAUCUGGAGUUUUUGUUUUCUCAGGGAUAAUGAAGUAACUGUAGAAUAAUAAAGCGGCUCUGCUUAUUGGAAACAGAAAGCUCUCAGCUUUCGGAAGAAAAGAUCCUCUCGGUGAAGCUCGUGCUGUAUUAAUCCAAAAAUACAAAUAAGUGGAGGUGAUCUGGAAAGCCUGUGUUACUGACAUCAGCCCAGGUGAGGUUUAUAAAGCAGAGCAUGGUCUGUGGGACGUGAGGACAGGGUGAGGAGAAAAUCCGUGCUAGGUUUCCUGGUCCCUGUCCUGGCAGAGUAGCCAGCAGGCUUCUGCUCGGCGCUGCAGGCCCAUUGUUUGGGUCAAGUAUUUGG